GAAAUGCGAUAAGUAAUGUGAAUUGCAGAAUUCAGUGAAUCAUCGAAUCUUUGAACGCACAUUGCGCCCCCUGGUAUUCCGGGGGGCAUGCCUGUUCGAGCGUCAUUUCACCACUCAAGCCUCGCUUGGUAUUGGGCAACGCGGUCCGCCGCGUGCCUCAAAUCGACCGGCUGGGUCUUCUGUCCCCUAAGCGUUGUGGAAACUAUUCGCUAAAGGGUGUUCGGGAGGCUACGCCGUAAAACAACCCCAUUUCUAAGGUUGACCUCGGAUCAGGUAGUGAUACCCGCUGAACUUAAGC
This 298-nucleotide unclassified non-coding RNA is filed under the name plant metagenome. RNAcentral's name for it is "partial contains 5.8S ribosomal RNA, internal transcribed spacer 2, and large subunit ribosomal RNA". The stretch from base 1 to 105 matches the Rfam family "5.8S ribosomal RNA", at positions 50 to 154 of the family's 154-position model. The record is from RNAcentral.